UCGAUGUUCUUCUUAAACUCUCUCGAUGUUCUUGAUGAACUCUCUCGAUGUUCUUAAACUCUCUUGAUGUUCUUGAUGAACUCUCUCGAUGUUCUUCUUAAACUCUCUCGAUGUUCUUGAUGAACUAACUCGAUGUUCUUCUUGAACUCUCUUGUUAUAUGUUCAGACACAGAUUGAUCGGUACGUGGAGUUGAUUCAGUCCAGAGUGGAGGAGACAUUGCAGAAGCUGCAGGACAGGUUACCUGGAGCUGUUAGAAGAACUAAAGCUGAGUGACCACCUGAUGUGCACACACACACACACAUCUGUACACAGGGCUGCAGGUGUGGCUCCUCCCCUCCUCUGAUUGGUCCAUUUGAGCAUGACUCACCUGAAUCACCUGACUCACCUGCUGGAUUCAAUCCUGACUGAUAGAAAACAAAGUGAAGCUGAUGGUUUUUUUCACCUCUGUCUCUUCACAAUAAAGAAAAAGUUUACAUUUCAUCAA
Plectropomus leopardus (leopard coralgrouper) is the source of this 485-nucleotide non-coding RNA. The record is from RefSeq and is a predicted model, not a curated record. Lineage: Eukaryota; Metazoa; Chordata; Actinopteri; Perciformes; Serranidae.